UUAAAUUUUAUUUAUUAAUUUUAUUUAUUUAAGUAUUUUAUUUAAUAAAAAUAAUUUUAAUUAAUUAUGGUUUUAGUAUUUUUUAAAGAAAUAAUAAUUUUAAUAAUAGUUUAUUUGUAUUGUAAAAGAAUAUUGAAAUAAUUUGAAAAAUUUUUAUUUUAAAAGAAAAUUUAAUUUAUUGUACCUUGUGUAUCAGGGUUUAUUAAUUAAUUAAUUAUUAUAAUAAUUUUUCUCGAAUUUUAAAGAUUUAGUUAUAUAUAAAAGUUACUGUGGAAUAAUUAUUUUUAAUAUAUAACUAGAAAUGAAACGUUAAUCGUUUUAAAAUAUAUCUAGUUUUUUAAGAAAUAAAUUUAAUUUAGAUUUAUUAAUUAAAAAGAUUAUUUAUUUAAUAUUUUUAUUUGAUAAAAUUAAUAUUUUAAGGGAUUAGCUUUAAAAUAAAUUUUUAAAUUUUUAAUAAAAUAAUUAAUAAAUGUAAGCUUAAAAAUAGUUAUCAUUAAUAAAUUUGUUAUAAUUUAUUUUAAAUUUUUUAUUAUUUAUUAUAAAAUUAAAUUAUUUAUUAAAAUAUAAAUUUUAAUUUUAAUAAUUUAUAAAUUAUGAUAAAAUUAGUAUAUUUAGUUUAUAUAAAUUAUUUAAAUUGAGAGGUUUAAAUAAGGAAUUCGGCAAAUUAUAUAUUCACCUGUUUAUCAAAAACAUGUCUUUUUGUAUUUAAUUUAAAGUCUAACCUGCCCACUGAUAAUUAUUAAAGGGCCGCAGUAUUUUGACUGUGCGAAGGUAGCAUAAUCAAUAGUCUUUUAAUUGAAGGCUUGUAUGAAUGGUUGAAUGAGAUAUAUACUGUCUUUUUUAAAUUUUUAUAGAAUUUUAUUUUUUAAUUAAAAAGUUAAAAUAUAAUUAAAAGACGAGAAGACCCUAUAGAUCUUUAUUUUUGUUAAUUAUAAAUUAAAAAGAAUAAUUAAAUUUAUAAUUUAAUAAAAAAUUUUACUGGGGUGGUAUUAAAAUUUAAUUAACUUUUAUUAUUUAUUUACAUUAAUAUAUGAAUAUUUGAUCCAAUUAUAUUGAUUAAAAAAUUAAGUUACCUUAGGGAUAACAGCGUAAUUUUUUUUUAGAGUUCUUAUCGACAAAAAAGAUUGCGACCUCGAUGUUGGAUUAAGAGUUAUUUUUAGGUGUAGAAGUUUAAAGUUUAGGUCUGUUCGACCUUUGAAUUCUUACAUGAUCUGAGUUCAAACCGGCGUAAGCCAGGUUGGUUUCUAUCUUUAAUUAAUUAUUAUAUUAUAGUACGAAAGGACCUAAUAUAAAAAAUAUAAAUUUUAAAUAUAUGAAUUAUAUUAA
This 1326-nucleotide ribosomal RNA is filed under the name Aedes flavopictus. RNAcentral's name for it is "16S ribosomal RNA". The stretch from base 1080 to 1239 matches the Rfam family "Archaeal large subunit ribosomal RNA", at positions 2544 to 2703 of the family's 2987-position model. Lineage: Eukaryota; Metazoa; Arthropoda; Insecta; Diptera; Culicidae. The record is from RNAcentral.